CCAAAAAGCCCUAAAAAAAUAUAUUUGGGGGAAAAAUCUGAAAUUGAUGGAGGCAGCAGCAGAUAAACCUAAAUUCAAGAAAUUAGGUCGCCACUCGAAGAAGAGCUCUUAUGAUUCUCAAAUAAAUCGACUCGAUGAUGGCUGUCUUAUGCUUAUUUUCAGCUUCCUCUCCCCCAUUCCAGAUCGGUAUAACACCGCCCUCGUUUGCCGCAGAUGGCGUUUUCUGGCAUGUCAUCCUCAGCAUUGGCUUUGAGUUGACCGCUCCGUCAAAGAGUUGACCGAAGCUGGAGUUUACCCCUGCAUCGAGACAGCUGUCUCUGCUGCCAGGCCCGGCGACACUAUACUUAUUGCAGCUGGAGGGAUUCACCGUACAUCCAAUAUCCAGAUCAAAAAGCCUCUUUGUCUGGUAAUUUUUUGGAUUUUCUUAUUUGCGCAAUGAAUCCUCUCAGAUUUCGAAUUUCUCGAUUAAUUUUAUUUCGGCCUUUCUUUGUCCGAUAGCCUUUGUCCCCUUUUGAUUGGUUGCUCUCUACUUACAUUUGGAAGAGAAACAAGGGUGAUGGUGUGCAAGGUAGUCAAAAAUUGGGAUUUUAAGUAAAAAUCGAAAGUGGGCUGCAAAUUUAUAUAGCAUGCCGAAUUUUGUCAUUUUGUCUCAACUCCUAAAAUAAAUAAAGAAAUAGAACAUGCGUUUUUUGGUGGGACGUUGAUUAGUGGAUUAGUUCUUUGUCGUUGUUUGACCUAGGGUUCAGUACUCCACGAAUUUCAAAAUUAGUCGUGUUACUAGAAUGAAAGAAAACGUUCAGUGGAUUGU
Molecule: non-coding RNA, 808 nt
Organism: Erythranthe guttata (spotted monkey flower)
Lineage: Eukaryota; Viridiplantae; Streptophyta; Magnoliopsida; Lamiales; Phrymaceae
Source: RefSeq, a predicted model, not a curated record